This 313-nucleotide ribosomal RNA is filed under the name Nesticella sp. LB-2014a. Its description in RNAcentral is "partial 12S ribosomal RNA". The record is from RNAcentral. Lineage: Eukaryota; Metazoa; Arthropoda; Arachnida; Araneae; Nesticidae.
UAAACUACAUAGGUAGUAAUUAACUUUUAAAAAACCGUAGCAUAAUGACGGCAUUUUACCUUACUAGAGGAACUUGUAAUAUAAUCGACAACCCCCGAUAAAUUUCACUUUUUUUAUAAAUUUUAUAUACCGCCGUAUUAACCUAUUUAACACAUGAACUUAUAUCCUCUUCCCCCAAACUCAGGUAAAGGUGUAAACCAUAAAAAAGUAUCUAUGAGUUACAAUAAAAACAUUUACUAAAUUAGAAUUUAGAAGUAAAAAAUGUCCAAUAAUUUUUAAAUUUAUUCAAUUUUGAAUAAGAAAAAAAAUGUGU